AGUGUUUCUAGCUCCACUUAAAUCAAAGAGG
Molecule: non-coding RNA, 31 nt
Organism: Stegodyphus mimosarum
Lineage: Eukaryota; Metazoa; Arthropoda; Arachnida; Araneae; Eresidae
Source: Rfam